GGGCAUGGUGGUGCAUGCCUGAAAUCUCAGCCACUUGGGAGAUUAAGGUGGGAGAAUUGCUGGAGCGCCAGAGUUCAAGUUGAACCCAGGAGUUCAGGACUAGAUAUCCAGACAUCCUAGGCAACACAGCAACACCCUGUCUCAA
RNAcentral lists this small RNA (145 nucleotides) under Marmota monax (woodchuck). The record is from RNAcentral. Lineage: Eukaryota; Metazoa; Chordata; Mammalia; Rodentia; Sciuridae.